This 897-nucleotide ribosomal RNA is filed under the name Hermatomyces chiangmaiensis. RNAcentral's name for it is "eukaryotic LSU rRNA". It matches the Rfam family "Eukaryotic large subunit ribosomal RNA", at positions 35 to 952 of the family's 3401-position model. Lineage: Eukaryota; Fungi; Ascomycota; Dothideomycetes; Pleosporales; Hermatomycetaceae. The record is from RNAcentral.
AUAGCAUAUCAAUAAGCGGAGGAAAAGAAACCAACAGGGAUUGCCCUAGUAACGGCGAGUGAAGCGGCAAGAGCUCAAAUUUGAAAUCUGGCUCCUUUGGGGUCCGAGUUGUAAUUUGUAGAGGGUGCUUUGGUGUUGACUAUGGCCUAAGUUCCUUGGAACAGGACGUCUUAGAGGGUGAGAACCCCGUACGUGGCCUCUAGCCUUCACCGUGUAAAGCCCCUUCGACGAGUCGAGUUGUUUGGGAAUGCAGCUCUAAAUGGGAGGUAAAUUUCUUCUAAAGCUAAAUAUUGGCCAGAGACCGAUAGCGCACAAGUAGAGUGAUCGAAAGAUGAAAAGCACUUUGGAAAGAGAGUCAAAAAGCACGUGAAAUUGUUGAAAGGGAAGCGCUUGCAGCCAGACUUGCCCGUAGUCGCUCAUCCGAGCUCUUGCUCGGUGCACUCUUCUGCGGGCAGGCCAGCAUCAGUCCGGGCGGUCGGAUAAAGGCUCUGGGAAUGUAGCUCUCUUCGGGGAGUGUUAUAGCCCAGGGUGUCAUGCGACCAGCCUGGACUGAGGUCCGCGCAUCUGCUAGGAUGCUGGCGUAAUGGCUGUAAGCGGCCCGUCUUGAAACACGGACCAAGGAGUCUAACAUCUAUGCGAGUGUUUGGGUGUCAAGCCCGGGCGCGCAAUGAAAGUGAACGGAGGUGGGAGCCUUUGGGUGCACCAUCGACCGAUCCUGAUGUCUUCGGAUGGAUUUGAGUAAGAGCAUAGCUGUUGGGACCCGAAAGAUGGUGAACUAUGCCUGAAUAGGGUGAAGCCAGAGGAAACUCUGGUGGAGGCUCGCAGCGGUUCUGACGUGCAAAUCGAUCGUCAAAUUUGGGCAUAGGGGCGAAAGACUAAUCGAACUAUCAGUCCCCC